AGUGAACGCUGGCGGUAGGCCUAACACAUGCAAGUCGAACGGCAGCACAGUAAGAGCUUGCUCUUACGGGUGGCGAGUGGCGGACGGGUGAGGAAUACAUCGGAAUCUACUUUUUCGUGGGGGAUAACGUAGGGAAACUUACGCUAAUACCGCAUACGACCUACGGGUGAAAGCAGGGGAUCUUCGGACCUUGCGCGAUUGAAUGAGCCGAUGUCGGAUUAGCUAGUUGGCGGGGUAAAGGCCCACCAAGGCGACGAUCCGUAGCUGGUCUGAGAGGAUGAUCAGCCACACUGGAACUGAGGCACGGUCCAGACUCCUACGGGAGGCAGCAGUGGGGAAUAUUGGACAAUGAGCGCAAGCCUGAUCCAGCCAUACCGCGUGGGUGAAGAAGGCCUUCGGGUUGUAAAGCCCUUUUGUUGGGAAAGAAAAGCAGCAGGUUAAUACCCCGCUGUUCUGACGGUACCCAAAGAAUAAGCACCGGCUAACUUCGUG
This 492-nucleotide ribosomal RNA is filed under the name uncultured bacterium. RNAcentral describes it as "partial 16S ribosomal RNA". It matches the Rfam family "Bacterial small subunit ribosomal RNA", at positions 29 to 507 of the family's 1533-position model. The record is from RNAcentral.